RNAcentral lists this ribosomal RNA (526 nucleotides) under uncultured bacterium. RNAcentral's name for it is "bacterial SSU rRNA". It matches the Rfam family "Bacterial small subunit ribosomal RNA", at positions 34 to 540 of the family's 1533-position model. The record is from RNAcentral.
AUUUUGGGUGACNCGCUAGCGGCAGGUCUAACACAUGCAAGUAGAACGGUAACAGGAAUAGCUUGCUAUUCGCUGACGAGUUGCGAACGGGUGCGUAACGCGUAUGCAACCUACCCUUAACAGGGGGAUAGCCUUCCGAAAGGAAGAAUAAUAUCCCAUAACAUUAUUAAUUGGCAUCGAUUGAUAAUUAAAGCUCCGGCGGUUAAGGAUGGGCAUGCGUAUCAUUAGCUAGUUGGUAAGGUAACGGCUUACCAAGACGUCGAUAGGUAGGGGGCCUGAGAGGGUGAACCCCCACACUGGUACUGAGACACGGACCAGACUCCUACGGGAGGCAGCAGUGAGGAAUAUUGGGCAAUGGAGGCAACUCUGACCCAGCCAUGCCGCGUGCAGGAAGACGGCCUUAUGGGUUGUAAACUGCUUUUAUUCGGAAAGAAACCUUUCUACCUGUAGAGAGCUGACGGCACCGAAAGAAUAACGACCGGCUAACUCCGUGCCAGCAGCCGCGGUAAUACGGAAGGUCCAAGCG